UAGGGAAUCUUCCGCAAUGGACGAAAGUCUGACGGAGCAACGCCGCGUGAGUGAAGAAGGAUUUCGGUUCGUAAAACUCUGUUGUUAGGGAAGAAAAAAUGUAUAGUAACUAUAUACAAAAGAGACGGUACCUAACCAGAAAGCCACGGCUAACUACGUGCCAGCAGCCGCGGUAAUACGUAGGUGGCAAGCGUUGUCCGGAAUUAUUGGGCGUAAAGCGCGCGCAGGUGGUUUAGAAAGUCUGAUGUGAAAGCCCACGGCUCAACCGUGGAAGGUCAUUGGAAACUAAUAAACUUGAGUGCAGGAGAGAAAAGUGGAAUUCCUAGUGUAGCGGUGAAAUGCGUAGAGAUUAGGAGGAACACCGGUGGCGAAAGCGGCUUUUUGGCCUGCGACUGACACUGAGGCGCGAAAGCGUGGGGAGCAAACAGG
This 429-nucleotide ribosomal RNA is filed under the name Verrucomicrobiota bacterium. RNAcentral's name for it is "Verrucomicrobia bacterium partial 16S ribosomal RNA". It matches the Rfam family "Bacterial small subunit ribosomal RNA", at positions 355 to 776 of the family's 1533-position model. Lineage: Bacteria; Pseudomonadati; Verrucomicrobiota. The record is from RNAcentral.